This is a non-coding RNA of Meleagris gallopavo (turkey), 1320 nucleotides long. The record is from RefSeq and is a predicted model, not a curated record. Lineage: Eukaryota; Metazoa; Chordata; Aves; Galliformes; Phasianidae.
UGGAGAUCCCUGCUUACCUGAGGCCUUCUGAAGGCACACAACUGUGAAGCAUAUAGCAUGUAGUGAGCGCAUCCUGAUCCUUCUCGAUGCAAGCUGAAGAAAGACCCGUGCGUGCUAUACUUCAAAUCUGAAGUGUCCUUCAGUCCUUCACAUUCUACAGAUUGGUUGGCAGAUAUCAGACCCUCAUGGGGGAUCUUCUGAAAAAUACUGGCUCAGAUACACCCAUCCUGUAUCCUGGUUGCUUGCACAAACACAAGGAAACAGCUUGCAGACAAAGAAGAAACCAGGAACCUGUCAGUCUCACUGGUGUGGUUUAUUCAUUACUAAGGUUGCUUUGGGCAGGAACAGCAUGUCAUGCUGCUGGCAGGAUAUUCAUUGGAGAGGAGAGAUGGGCUCCAGGAACUGUACUUGUUCAUCUCACCCAGUCACUGUUUGAUCCUAAAUACUAAAAGAGCCAAGUCUGUAUGGGUGAGCCUGAAGAAGCCUGCAGCCUGCUGGUCUGCUCAGCACAUGAAUCUGGUUGCACUGAGGGUAUGACAAGGGGAAGACACAACCACAUCAAAACAGAGAUGCUUUUGGACAGUUAGGGAAGCAGCCUUUAAGAGCACAUGAGAAGCAGAGGUAUUUACUGUGUGCUGCAGGGGGAACUGACUGAGAGAAUUUUGUGAAUAAUCAAUACAAGGCUCACUUGCUUUGUACCUGUACGACAUUUGUGGCUUAGUUAUAAUCUAGUUGUGCCUUUUGUAGAAGCUAAGAGAAAGUGCAAAUAGAUGACAUAAUUUAGAAGGCAUUUUAAUCAAAUUAUUCCUUAGAAGCAUUUGUAGAGUGAUGCCUUACCUUGUACUCACCACAGUAGUAUCCAAUUACUCAGUGAAAUUAUCAGUGGUAGUUUACCCUUAAAUAUCCUUUUCCCAAGAUAACUAGAUCCCAAGGAACACAAUUAUUAUCCUGAAAUACUACGUCCUCUUUCACAACUCCUACACACACUUUGCUGGAACUGCUAUGAAUUACUCUUGGGCUAUCUUCAAGAAGCAAACCUUGUCAACUCUGCUCGGAUCUGUGACAACUCACAGCAACUAGCUGCAAUAAUUUCUGAGCGCUUCCUCUUCCCAGGUCUGUGCCAAGCUACAAAAUCACGCAGUCCUUCUGCACCGUAAUUGACACUGACAGCAAUUAAAACUGAGAAGUUCUUCUCAUAAUCUUUUGCUCCAGAAAGGGCAGUGACCUUGCUGAAAGGCAGUCAAUACUGUCAGAGUUGGACACAUCCCUCUGGUCACUCCUCUGCUGCAGUCCAUCAGUCCUUCAGUGGCUCAGUUCCCU